AAAGUUAUUAAAAGCUCCAGCACAGUCCACAAGCUGCUGCUCUGACAGAGAGAUUCCCUUCCCAAAUGCUUGGGCAUAGGCUGCCUCUAGUGCACCAGUAGUGCUGAAUGUCCAGCAAGAUCCGCACUUGCCCUGUGCCUUCACUGGGCUAACAAUACCAUCUUUCCUCCAGUCUUUCGUCUCUGGCAGAACGACGUUAGUGAGCUUGAGAUUUCCCUUUGUGGUGGCAGAACAGUUUUGAGAUGCCCCCAACUUGUGUUUACGGAACUCAUCCCAUGUUAGGUCGGUAAACUCAUUGAUACCGAGUUUGUAUGAUAGUCCUUUUCUGUUAUGCGAUCGGAUCAUCUUCAGAUUGUCCAAAAAUAUCUCAAACCUUUGCUUGAUCUCUUCAACGGAGUCAUACCUUUUCCGAUGCCUGAUAGCAAAGCGAGCGAAGGAGAGAGCACUGCGAGUCUGGCCGACGACUUGAAGAAUCCCGUUCUCCAGCUCAUCGGGAAAUACGACUUGCCUGAUCGGAUUCUUAUCAGCGAAGGUCGCCGGACCGGCAAGUGCAGUAGCGAAAAGGCCGGCGACGAGAAUCAAUACGAGCGAGAGACGUGACAUUGUAAUUAUUGUAA
RNAcentral lists this unclassified non-coding RNA (617 nucleotides) under Hevea brasiliensis (rubber tree). The record is from RNAcentral. Lineage: Eukaryota; Viridiplantae; Streptophyta; Magnoliopsida; Malpighiales; Euphorbiaceae.